GAUGAAGAACGUAGCGAAAUGCGAUAAGUAGUGUGAAUUGCAGAAUUCAGUGAAUCAUCGAAUCUUUGAACGCACAUUGCGCCCCUCGGUAUUCCGUGGGGCACGCCUGUUCGAGCGUCAUUUACACCCUCAAGCGCAGCUUGGUGUUGGGCGUCUGUCCCGCUCUCCGUAGCGCGGACUCGCCUCAAAGUCAUUGGCGGCGGUCGUGCCGGCUCCUCGCGCAGCACAUUUGCGCUUCUCGGAGGCCCGGCGGAUCGGCAUCCAGCAAGCUACUUUUUAUGACUUGACCUCGGAUCAGGUGAGGAUACCCGCUGAACUUAAGCAUGUCAAUAAGCGAGGA
RNAcentral lists this unclassified non-coding RNA (340 nucleotides) under soil metagenome. RNAcentral describes it as "partial contains 5.8S ribosomal RNA, internal transcribed spacer 2, and large subunit ribosomal RNA". The stretch from base 1 to 120 matches the Rfam family "5.8S ribosomal RNA", at positions 35 to 154 of the family's 154-position model. The record is from RNAcentral.